ACGGGGCCCGCACAAGCGGGGAGCAUGUGGUUUAAUUCGAUGAUACGCGAGGAACCUUACCUGGGCUUGAACGUAUGGUGCAUUAGGGUGAAAGCCCUAUUUCUAGCAAUAGACUUCAUACGAGGUGCUGCAUGGCUGUCGUCAGCUCGUGCCGUGAGGUGUUAGGUUAAGUCCUGCAACGAGCGCAACCCCUGUUUCCAGUUGCCAUCAAGUAAAGUUGGGGACUCUGGAGAGACUGCCUGCGCAAGCAGAGAGGAAGGUGGGGAUGACGUCAAGUCAGCACGGCCCUUACGUCCAGGGCUACACACGUGCUACAAUGGCCGGUACAGAGGGCAGCGACCUGGUGACAGGUAGCGAAUCUCCAAAGCCGGUCUCAGUUCGGAUCGGAGUCUGCAACUCGACUCCGUGAAGUUGGAAUCGCUAGUAAUCGCGGAUCAGCACGCCGCGGUGAAUACGUUCCCGGGCCUU
Molecule: ribosomal RNA, 468 nt
Filed under: uncultured Bacteroidales bacterium
Lineage: Bacteria; Pseudomonadati; Bacteroidota; Bacteroidia; Bacteroidales
Description: bacterial SSU rRNA
Rfam family: Bacterial small subunit ribosomal RNA
Source: RNAcentral